ACAAGUUCAUUUUCGGCACACCUCCCCCCUCCCCUCACUCCCUUGAUUUUCUCCUAAAAUGUCUCCCCUUAUCCCUUGAAUCACUCCACCAAUUUCUCCUCAACUCCCCCCAACAACUCCAUUCAAAAUCCAUUCAAACUCCCUUUAGCUAUGUUUCAGUCCAACUCCACUAUCCACACAGCUCCAGCAGCAAAAUAAAU
RNAcentral lists this long non-coding RNA (200 nucleotides) under Gossypium barbadense (sea-island cotton). RNAcentral describes it as "long non-coding RNA (GBAR_LNC022613)". The record is from RNAcentral. Lineage: Eukaryota; Viridiplantae; Streptophyta; Magnoliopsida; Malvales; Malvaceae.